Molecule: ribosomal RNA, 266 nt
Filed under: uncultured bacterium
Lineage: Bacteria
Description: partial 16S ribosomal RNA
Rfam family: Bacterial small subunit ribosomal RNA
Source: RNAcentral
UUUCUAGUGGCGGACGGGUGAGUAACGCGUGGGUAACCUGCCUUAUACAGGGGGAUAACAACCAGAAAUGGUUGCUAAUACCGCAUAAGCGCACAGGACCGCAUGGUCCGGUGUGAAAAACUCCGGUGGUAUAAGAUGGACCCGCGUUGGAUUAGCUAGUUGGCAGGGCAACGGCCUACCAAGGCGACGAUCCAUAGCCGGCCUGAGAGGGUGAACGGCCACAUUGGGACUGAGACACGGCCCAGACUCCUACGGGAGGCAGCAUG